AUUGAACGCUGGCGGCAUGCUUUACACAUGCAAGUCGAACGGGCCAGGGGGCAACUCCUGGUCAGUGGCGAACGGGUGAGUAAUACAUCGGAACGUACCCCGUAGUGGGGGAUAACUCGGCGAAAGCCGUGACUAAUACCGCAUAUGCUCUACGGAGGAAAGCAGGGGACCNCAAGGCCUUGUGCUAUGGGAGCGGCCGAUGUCCGAUUAGCUAGUUGGUGGGGUAAUGGCCACCAAGGCGACGAUCGGUAGCUGGUCUGAGAGGAUGAUCAGCCACACU
Molecule: ribosomal RNA, 280 nt
Filed under: uncultured bacterium
Lineage: Bacteria
Description: partial 16S ribosomal RNA
Rfam family: Bacterial small subunit ribosomal RNA
Source: RNAcentral